Lactuca sativa (garden lettuce) is the source of this 1985-nucleotide non-coding RNA. Lineage: Eukaryota; Viridiplantae; Streptophyta; Magnoliopsida; Asterales; Asteraceae. The record is from RefSeq and is a predicted model, not a curated record.
UGCAAUCAAUGGCCGUUAGAGAUCGAAUACACAUUCAAAUAGAAGUUCCCCUGAGUCCCUUAUCACACCGAUCUGGCAUGGGUCUCUCAAUAAACCGUAGUUAUAGGCCUUUACACCAGUGAUUACAUCUUCUUUAAAACAAACCACCAGCUUUGGCCUCCUACUAUGUCACCGUUCGCUGCUCCACUUCAACCAUCACCACUACCACUGUUCACCACCGCCUAUUUCAUCUCCAUCAGCCACCAAUUUAUCCAUCUCUUUAGGUUUGGUUUUCAUCUUUAUUGCAUAUGUUUGUACUUUGCUUUCUUCCAUAUCUCACCUCUUUACUCUUUAGUACGCUAAUUACCGGCCACCAUCACUACCUAUACCACAUCACCCCACCUAACCACCCCCAACAUCAAUGCUUGUUCCACCUCUUAUCAUCCAUAAAGGUAUUCUUUGACAUUUCUUAAUCUUCUUUUAUUUAUCACACUGUGUUUCUAUUUUGUUCAAACAUUGGCAUCCACUAGAAGAUGCUUAGCAUUGAAAUUUCUUAACACCACCGUCAAUCGAAGCCUAAUCGAAGUUGUUACCACCACUUCUUCGAUUGGAAGGUCAAGAGUUGAAAAAGUAUAGGAAAAUGUUUACAUUGCAGCCAAUAAAACAUCAUGUGGCAUCACAGUAAGUUUAGGGGUCAUCAGUGGAUAGACAGGUAAGCUGUUAAACUAUAUAUAUUUCAUUAUUUAUGUGAAUUGAUAACUUGACAGUGUUAUGCUCUAGAUUGAAUAAUCAUUGUGGUUUUUAUGAAAGUGGUGCACAACAAGCUGUAGGAAUACAAGUCAGGCGUUAAAACCUAAUACACUUUGAUUUUUUCUAAUGGAAGCCUGAAACUUAGAUCCAAGAAGGUCAGUCUUUUUAUUAAUAAUAAAAUUGGGAUGAACAACAGGAAAUGAAUAUCUAUAUUUUAUUUGUUCUUACAUAAACCCCUCUCUAAUUUGGUUUGUUACACUCUCGAUCUUGAUAUUUUUCAAACAUGAUAGAGGAGAAAGCCUAUGACUUCAAGCCCUAAAUUUCAACUUAAAGGUACAUCUUCCUUUCAAAUCACACUAUCAAGAGAUAAAAAAUGGAAGCAAGAUCUUUUUGGUCACUCUUUGCUAAUUAUCAGCUUUGUUUUAAGAACUUAGAAGGGCAUUAAUGUCAAAAAAACUAAGUUAUUCUUUUUUUUCUUUUUGUUAAUUUAUGUUGCAGGUAUUGGUUAGCUAGUAAUGCAAUGAUGAUUAGAUUGCGUAAUGUGAAGCUUUAGAUGGAUUUAUUUGUAAAAAAUACUUGGGAUCUCUACGAAAGUACAAACAAUAGGACCAAAACAUGAUGGUUUAUACGAAGAUAACAAAACUCGUGACGGGAAGACAAUAGUAAAAUUACCAAAAUAACCUCCAUAUUGUUAAGGUAUAAAGGGAAAGAAAAGGUGAAUGAAGGUGGUGUGGAGAAUGAACAUGUUAUUAAUUCUCCAGGGUCACCAGUAACUCAUGCUCUCUAAUAUUGUUCAUCAUAUUCUAUGUUCAAUCACCAAUCACAUGUUGCAAGCUUGAACUAAAUGCAAGAUUCCAUUGAUACAAAUAGGAUGUAAAUAGCAAUGUAUUGUCAUUGAUAUGUGAUUAUAUUUUAUUUUUACCUGAUUAUAUAAGAGUUGAAUAUUGAGAUAAAUUUAUACUUUAUAUAAGGAAAAUUUUGAACACACAUUUAGAAAGUAAUAAUCUGAUUUCAAAUAAUCACACUAGAUAAGACAUAGAACCUGGAUGUACUUUUUCAACAUUAUAAAACCCUUAAUACCUUAACAACAAGUCAAUAUAUGUUAAGUAUUAAUGAGUAAAGUUAAGUGUAAAGUGUUUUGCUCCUUUUUCGAUUUUUAUGUUAAAAAUAGACUUUUUAUAUAUGCUAAUGAGUUUGACCUAUAAUGACCUCAUGUGUUUGACUUUCAUAAAAUUGACUUUUAAUCUAAAUCAAGU